This is a long non-coding RNA of Leopardus geoffroyi (Geoffroy's cat), 358 nucleotides long. RefSeq lists it as uncharacterized. The record is from RefSeq and is a predicted model, not a curated record. The transcript has 2 exons. NCBI's taxonomy places the organism in Eukaryota, Metazoa, Chordata, Mammalia, Carnivora, Felidae.
AUCUACCAGGAGACCAAAGCGUCAAAGGCCCAAGCUGCUUCACCCCAUCCCCCAGGAGGACAGUAUCAGAAAUGCUGCCUCUCAGUCAGAAGAGACUACAGAACUCACUCCCAGGGCUGCAACCACCUCAGAGGGAAAACUGGCCAAGCUCGGCCAUAAAAUCGGGAAGAAUCUGGACAAAACAAGAAACCGUGAGCUAUCUGAAAAACCUACUCCCUCAUGCCUAUGAAGUCAUAAGGCCCUAAUGAUAAUAAGGCCCAGUCCCGGCCAAAGUUGGGGUCUACGGCACCCAAACCCUCCUUGCCCCGACCACCAUCUCUCAGUUCCCCCAUGUCCCUUAUUAAAGCGUUGCAUCCCA